GAAAGAACUGUUGGACAUAUCCUUAGGCUGGGAUGAUGAACUGUUUUGUGCCCAGAGCAAUGGUACACCCAAGUAACCAGAGACGUAUUUCACUGCCAUGGCUCAUUGAUGUUUCAGGAGUAAAGUUGCUUCUUCGAGGCUGUAUCAGAUCAUGAAGCUUGAACUCUUUUUGAGUAGGCACCUAGUUCGCAUCAGAGUUACAUCCCAACUGGGUAACCCUUUUUUGUUGUGUGUAUGUAGUAUGUACAUACAAUACCUGCGAAUCUUCUCGUUCCUUUCAUGCAACCUCAAGAGUUAUCUCUGAAAAAUUGUCAAUAGGCAAGGUUCAGGGUGUGGACAUGUAAACUUUUGUUCUACCCUUGUACAGAUCUAUAUAAUCUGUCACUUUUCUUGGGUA
Lolium rigidum is the source of this 397-nucleotide long non-coding RNA. RefSeq lists it as uncharacterized. NCBI's taxonomy places the organism in Eukaryota, Viridiplantae, Streptophyta, Magnoliopsida, Poales, Poaceae. The transcript is spliced from 2 exons. The record is from RefSeq and is a predicted model, not a curated record.